CCCCGGCGUCCCUAGUGGCAAUCAGUAUUAUUGGGUCUAAAGCAUUCGUAGCCGGAUUGUUAAAUUUUCUGUGAAAUCGCUCAGCUUAACUGGGCGGCGUGCAGGAAAGACUGGCAAUCUUGGAACUGGGAGGAGUUAGGAGUAUUCUGGGGGGAGCGGUAAAAUGUGAUAAUCCUCGGAAGACUACCAGUGGCGAAGGCGCCUAACUAGAACAGAUUCGACGGUGAGGAAUGAAGGCCAGGGGAGCAAACCG
Molecule: ribosomal RNA, 253 nt
Filed under: uncultured archaeon
Lineage: Archaea
Description: partial 16S ribosomal RNA
Rfam family: Archaeal small subunit ribosomal RNA
Source: RNAcentral